AAAGAUUAAGCCAUGCAUGUCUAAGUAUAAGCAAAUCUAUACGGUGAAACUGCGAAUGGCUCAUUAAAUCAGUUAUCGUUUAUUUGAUAGUACCUUGCUACAUGGAUACCUGUGGUAAUUCUAGAGCUAAUACAUGCGGAAAACCCCGACUUCGGAAGGGGUGUAUUUAUUAGAUAAAAAACCAAUGCCCUUCGGGGCUCCUUGGUGAUUCAUAAUAACUGCACGAAUCGCAUGGCCUUGCGCCGGCGAUGGUUCAUUCAAAUUUCUGCCCUAUCAACUUUCGAUGGUAGGAUAGUGGCCUACCAUGGUGGCAACGGGUAACGGGGAAUUAGGGUUCGAUUCCGGAGAGGGAGCCUGAGAAACGGCUACCACAUCCAAGGAAGGCAGCAGGCGCGCAAAUUACCCAAUCCCGAUUCGGGGAGGUAGUGACAAUAAAUACUGAUACAGGGCUCUUUUGGGUCUUGUAAUUGGAAUGAGUACAAUCUAAAUCCCUUAACGAGGAACAAUUGGAGGGCAAGUCUGGUGCCAGCAGCCGCGGUAAUUCCAGCUCCAAUAGCGUAUAUUAAAGUUGUUGCAGUUAAAAAGCUCGUAGUUGAACCUUGGGCCUGGCUGGCCGGUCCGCCUCACCGCGAGUACUGGUCCGGCCGGGCCUUUCCUUCUGGGGAACCCCAUGGCCUUCACUGGCCGUGGCGGGGAACCAGGACUUUUACUGUGAAAAAAUUAGAGUGUUCAAAGCAGGCCUUUGCUCGGAUACAUUAGCAUGGAAUAAUAGAAUAGGACGUGUGGUUCUAUUUUGUUGGUUUCUAGGACCGCCGUAAUGAUUAAUAGGGAUAGUCGGGGGCGUCAGUAUUCAGCUGUCAGAGGUGAAAUUCUUGGAUUUGCUGAAGACUAACUACUGCGAAAGCAUUCGCCAAGGAUGUUUUCAUUAAUCAGGGAACGAAAGUUAGGGGAUCGAAGACGAUCAGAUACCGUCGUAGUCUUAACCAUAAACUAUGCCGACUAGGGAUCGGACGGUGUUUCUAUGAUGACCCGUUCGGCACCUUACGAGAAAUCAAAGUUUUUGGGUUCUGGGGGGAGUAUGGUCCGCAGGCUGAACUUAAGAUUU
This 1105-nucleotide ribosomal RNA is filed under the name Elaphomyces sp. HB2. RNAcentral's name for it is "SSU rRNA". It matches the Rfam family "Eukaryotic small subunit ribosomal RNA", at positions 39 to 1154 of the family's 1831-position model. The record is from RNAcentral. Lineage: Eukaryota; Fungi; Ascomycota; Eurotiomycetes; Eurotiales; Elaphomycetaceae.